This is a long non-coding RNA of Mizuhopecten yessoensis (Yesso scallop), 206 nucleotides long. RefSeq lists it as uncharacterized. The transcript has 3 exons. NCBI's taxonomy places the organism in Eukaryota, Metazoa, Mollusca, Bivalvia, Pectinida, Pectinidae. The record is from RefSeq and is a predicted model, not a curated record.
ACACAAGCAUUGAUGUUUAUUUAUACGAUCACAAGUUGAAUACCACUGUAUGUACGACAGAAAUGACCAGCCAAAAGAUGCUGCUAAUUUUCAUUGUAUUUCUUCUACAGAUUUCAGAUACCACUGGGAGCGAGUGUUCCGAUGCUGCAGAAUCGAAAAAUAUACCUUAUAUCCGGAUGUGUGAGGAUGGCAGCGUGACGUCAGAC